UCAGGUCAUGGGUUCGACUCUGACUCACCCCGAGAAUAUCUUAGAACAGAUACACUUCUUAAGGUUAUAAGCCAUAUUAGUCAAAAAAAAACUUAGAUGCAGUAGCUUCGCAAAUAAUGAGAUAUAAACGAAGGCAAGAUGAAUGUGGGAAAAGGAUUACAACUCUAUCAUUUGUCAAUUGCUUCAAUUGUGUGCUGGUCAAUUACGUCUGCCUUACGCUUGUAAUCUUAAACAUAUGCUGAGUAUAUUCCAAUAAAACUAGCUACUCAUCCCAACUAUUUCAAUGUGUUUGAAAAACGUUGUUAAAACAAAACCAUAUAUAAAUCCAGAACUGAAUUAAACUAGACAAAGUACUUGAUCCCAGGAAAAGAAACAAGAAUGGAUUCAGGAACGCUUAUUUUACUGAUAUGGGUCGGUGUUGUCUUUGCGAGUAUAGUUUGUACUGCUGCGUAUUUUGGAGGAUUGGGCGGUGCCAUAAUAAGGUGUUUUUCUCGUGUAUCUACUAGGAAUGUGAGAAGGAGUCCUGCUGUUACUCCGGUGCAGACUUUGCAGAGUUCGACGAUAGCAGCAACUACUGUUAGUCCACACGUUGAGAAAGGUGAAACCGACAAUGUUAGUACUACUACUACGUAAGAUACGAAGAUUGUUUUAGCAAUGUAUAGUACUUCCGGUGGAGGUGGAAGCCUGAUUCCAUUUAAAAUGAUCAAUGAUCUCUUUUUCCCGCGGCAUAAUACAUGAAUAUUACCCGCAUAGGUAAUUGUUAGCUAUGUUUGUUUUGAGGGAUUAUAUGAUAUUCGGUUAAUAUUUUGUUAUUCAAGCUGUUGUAAGAUAAACUUUAGCAAAACAAUGAUUGUUCAUAGCAUUCGGUGGUAGUUGUUAACAUUUUUAGGAUCUAAGCCAGCAAAUUAAACCAGUCUCUAUCAUGCAACUUCGUAGAAUUAAAGAAGUUGCUAUGAACAAAACAAUUGUUCAUAGCUAUGCUUUAAGAAUUUUCUGAGCAGAACUGUAGUUCAACUCUGAUACUUGUUUCGAAACUAAUGCAUGCAUGUAUUGCAGAGGAAUGGGAUGGUCGAAAAGGGGUUCGCAUUGUCUAAGAGAUAGAGAAUGAGGGUGUAGUAGUAACAGAUGCAUUUUUUUAGGGGCUAUUUAGAAACAUGGG
This 1159-nucleotide long non-coding RNA is filed under the name Daucus carota (carrot). RNAcentral describes it as "long non-coding RNA (DCAR_LNC003964)". Lineage: Eukaryota; Viridiplantae; Streptophyta; Magnoliopsida; Apiales; Apiaceae. The record is from RNAcentral.